This 253-nucleotide ribosomal RNA is filed under the name uncultured bacterium. RNAcentral's name for it is "partial 16S ribosomal RNA". It matches the Rfam family "Bacterial small subunit ribosomal RNA", at positions 524 to 776 of the family's 1533-position model. The record is from RNAcentral.
UACGGAGGGGGCUAGCGUUGUUCGGAAUUACUGGGCGUAAAGCGCACGUAGGCGGCUUCGUAAGUUAGAGGUGAAAGCCCAGGGCUUAACCCUGGAAUUGCCUUUAAGGCUGCAUCGCUAGAAUCGUGGAGAGGUGAGUGGAAUUCCGAGUGUAGAGGUGAAAUUCGUAGAUAUUCGGAAGAACACCAGUGGCGAAGGCGACUCACUGGACACGUAUUGACGCUGAGGUGCGAAAGCGUGGGGAGCAAACAGG